GACGAACGCUGGCGGCGUGCUUAACACAUGCAAGUCGAGCGGAGCGGCGCACGGGUGAGUAACGCGUGAGUAACUGCCCCCCUCUCUGGGAUAACAGUUGGAAAAGGCUGCUAAUACCGGAUAGUGGGGGAUGACUCGCGUCCUAUCAACUUGUUGGUGGGGUAGGAGCCUACCAAGGCGACGACGGGUAACCGGGCUGGGAGGGCGACCGGCCACAUUGGGGAGUGAUAAGGUCCGAAAACAUGCGGGAGGCAGCAGUGGGGAAUAUUGCAGAAUGGGGGAUACCCUGAUGCAGCAACGCCGCGUGCAGGAGGACGGCCGUCGGGUUGUAAACCGCUUUCAGCCAUGACGCGAUGGUGGCAGGAGAAGCACCGGCUAACUACGUGCCAGCAGCCGCGGUAAUUC
Molecule: ribosomal RNA, 405 nt
Filed under: uncultured bacterium
Lineage: Bacteria
Description: partial 16S ribosomal RNA
Rfam family: Bacterial small subunit ribosomal RNA
Source: RNAcentral